UUUCAAUCAGCUCCAACCUUCUCUAGCGAUUCUCUGAGACCUUAGGGAGAAAAACACAGGGCUGACUCUGACUAGCUGUGUGAUCCUGGUGUUUUGGAGGCCUUUGGGACAGACGGACUUUAGACUCCCCAGGAUAAAGUAGCCACUACACCUGAGACAUCGUUGAGAAGAGACCCAGAGCCUGAGUUCUCCAAGGAUAAACCCUGAGCAG
This is a long non-coding RNA of Odocoileus virginianus texanus, 211 nucleotides long. RefSeq lists it as uncharacterized. The record is from RefSeq and is a predicted model, not a curated record. NCBI's taxonomy places the organism in Eukaryota, Metazoa, Chordata, Mammalia, Artiodactyla, Cervidae.